GAUCAUUACCGAGUACAACUCGCCAACCCACUGUGAACAUACCUCAGUUGCUUCGGCGGACCCGCCCCGGCGCCCUCGGGCCCGGACCAGGCGCCCGCCGGAGGACCCCAAACCACUGAAUUACCAUGUGUAUCUUCUGAGCAAAGGCGAAAGCCGAAAAUGAAUUAAAACUUUCAACAACGGAUCUCUUGGUUCUGGCAUCGAUGAAGAACGCAGCGAAAUGCGAUAAGUAAUGUGAAUUGCAGAGCUCAGUGAACCAUCGAAUUUUUGAACGCACAUUGCGCCCGCCAGCACUCUGGCGGGCAUGCCUGUCCGAGCGUCAUUUCAACCCCUCGGGCCCCCUUCACGGGGCGGCCCGGUGUUGGGGAUCGCCCGCCCCCCGCGGCGGGCGUCCCCCAAAUCCAGUGGCGGACCUUCCGCGCCUCCCCUGCGUAGUACUGCACCUCGCACCGGAGCGCGCUGGGGCCCUGCCGUAAAACCCCCCACUUCUCAAGGUUGACCUCGGAUCAGGUAGGAAUACCCGCUGAACUUAAGCAUAUCAAUAAGCGGAGGA
Molecule: unclassified non-coding RNA, 553 nt
Filed under: Acrodontium salmoneum
Lineage: Eukaryota; Fungi; Ascomycota; Dothideomycetes; Mycosphaerellales; Teratosphaeriaceae
Description: sequence contains 18S rRNA gene, ITS1, 5.8S rRNA gene, ITS2, 28S rRNA gene
Rfam family: 5.8S ribosomal RNA (bases 169-322)
Source: RNAcentral